Molecule: ribosomal RNA, 629 nt
Filed under: uncultured fungus
Lineage: Eukaryota; Fungi
Description: eukaryotic LSU rRNA
Rfam family: 5.8S ribosomal RNA (bases 222-375)
Source: RNAcentral
AAGUCGUAACAAGGUUUCCGUAGGUGAACCUGCGGAAGGAUCAUUAAUGAUUGCGAAUGGUCGCCUUCAGUGCUGGCUCCCCGGAGCAGGUGCACGUUGGUGGCUUCAUCCAAUUCCACACCCUUGUGAACCUUUGGCCUCUUGCUAGCUUCGGCUGGCAGAGGAUUUUACACAUACUCGAAUGUAAUGAAAACUAUUGUUGUGCGCAAGCACUAAUAUACAACUUUCAACAACGGAUCUCUUGGCUCUCGCAUCGAUGAAGAACGCAGCGAAAUGCGAUAAGUAAUGUGAAUUGCAGAAUUCAGUGAAUCAUCGAAUCUUUGAACGCACCUUGCACCCUUUGGAAUUCCAAAGGGUAUGCUCGUUUGAGUGUCAUUGUACUCUCACACUCUCACUCUCUGAUCCUUUGGAUUUGGGGAGUGGUGGACUUGGGUGCUUGCUGCUUUCCUUGUAGCUCACCUCAAAUACAUCAGUGCACCUCUUAAUUGGACAUAGUACGGCGUGAUAAGUGUCUUCGCCGGCACCUCGUAAGAGGGUGGCCGAUUGGGAGCUCUGUGCUUUCAAAUCGUCUUCGGACAAUAAUCUGACAACUUGACCUCAAAUCGAGUAGGACUACCCGCUGAACUUAA